This 240-nucleotide ribosomal RNA is filed under the name uncultured bacterium. RNAcentral's name for it is "partial 16S ribosomal RNA". It matches the Rfam family "Bacterial small subunit ribosomal RNA", at positions 524 to 763 of the family's 1533-position model. The record is from RNAcentral.
UACGUAGGAGGCAAGCGUUAUCCGGAAUGACUGGGCGUAAAGGGUGCGUAGGUGGUUUGACAAGUUGGUAGCGUAACUCCGGGGCUCAACCUCGGAUCUACUACCAAAACUGUCGGGCUUGAGUGCAGGAGGGGUAAAUGGAAUUCCUAGUGUAGCGGUGGAAUGCGUAGAGAUUAGGAAGAACACCAGCGGCGAAGGCGAUUUACUGGACUGUAACUGACACUGAGGCACGAAAGCGUG